UAACCUAGCCUUGGAGUGGGGAAGUAACAGUUGGUAAACAAGCUGCUAAUACCGCAUGAUGCAGUUGAGUCGCAUGGCUCUGACUGCCAAAGAUUUAUCGCUCUGAGAUGGACUCGCGUCUGAUUAGCUAGUUGGCGGGGUAACGGCCCACCAAGGCGACGAUCAGUAGCCGGACUGAGAGGUUGGCCGGCCACAUUGGGACUGAGACACGGCCCAGACUCCUACGGGAGGCAGCAG
RNAcentral lists this ribosomal RNA (237 nucleotides) under uncultured bacterium. Its description in RNAcentral is "partial 16S ribosomal RNA". It matches the Rfam family "Bacterial small subunit ribosomal RNA", at positions 122 to 354 of the family's 1533-position model. The record is from RNAcentral.